RNAcentral lists this ribosomal RNA (414 nucleotides) under Triticum aestivum (bread wheat). RNAcentral's name for it is "partial small subunit ribosomal RNA". Lineage: Eukaryota; Viridiplantae; Streptophyta; Magnoliopsida; Poales; Poaceae. The record is from RNAcentral.
AUGAGAAACUAUUUUGUGGAGAAUCCUACAUACCCCGAGUCCUACUUUCAGCGUCGUUUUAGGAUGAGCAUCGAGUUGUUCAAACACAUUACGGAGAAACUGGCGAGCCAUGAUCGGGUUUUUCGGCAAAGGAGGAAUGUCGCCGGAGAACUCGGGCAUAGCACCUUUCAAAAGGUGAUCGCCGCUUUGCGUAUGUUGGCACACGGUAUUCCGGCAGAUCUAGUUGAUGACUACUUGGCCAUGGAUGAGAGUCAAGCCAUCAUGUGUGUCAAGCGCUUCGAAGUCGGAAUUGUGCAAGUGUUUGGUCCGGAAUAUUUGAGAGCUCCCAAUGCUGAAGACACCGCAAGGCUUUUGGAGAUGAACAAAGCUUGCGGGUUCCCAAGUAUGCUUGGCUCAAUAGAUUGCAUGCAUUGA